This 338-nucleotide ribosomal RNA is filed under the name Pycnococcus provasolii. Its description in RNAcentral is "partial Bacterial large subunit ribosomal RNA". It matches the Rfam family "Bacterial large subunit ribosomal RNA", at positions 2456 to 2793 of the family's 2925-position model. Lineage: Eukaryota; Viridiplantae; Chlorophyta; Pseudoscourfieldiophyceae; Pseudoscourfieldiales; Pycnococcaceae. The record is from RNAcentral.
AUAAAAGGUACGCCGGGGAUAACAGGCUGAUAACCCCCAAGAGCUCAUAUCGACGGGGUUGUUUGGCACCUCGAUGUCGGCUCAUCUCAUCCUGGGGCUGUAGCCGGUCCCAAGGGUAUGGCUGUUCGCCAUUUAAAGAGGUACGUGAGCUGGGUUUAAAACGUCGUGAGACAGUUUGGUCCCUAUCUUCCGUGGGCGCUGCAGAUUUGAGGAAGCCUGCUCCUAGUACGAGAGGACCGGAGUGGACACACCUCUGGUGUAUCGGUUGUCACGCCAGUGGCAUUGCCGAGUAGCUAAGUGUGGAAGAGAUAACCGCUGAAAGCAUCUAAGCGGGAAGC